AUGAGAUGUCACAUUUUCGGUGGGGAGACGAGGACAAUCAUAAGCGGAUGGCUUGGUGAAAAAUGUGUCUAUCUAAAAAUCAGUGGGGCGGGUUUUUGUGAUAUUCAUUGUUUCAACCUGACAAUGUUGACAAAACAAGCUUGUCGUCUUCUCGAAAAUCUCGAGUCCUUAUGUGCCAUCAUGUUGAGAGCUAAGUAUUUACCUGAUGGUAAUUUACUGAAUGUAAAGUUAAAGAAGGGUUCCCCUUUUACCUGGCAAAGUAUUUACGAUGGGUGGGUGGGAGGGGGGUUAAUUAUCUGA
This 300-nucleotide ribosomal RNA is filed under the name Triticum aestivum (bread wheat). RNAcentral's name for it is "partial small subunit ribosomal RNA". The record is from RNAcentral. Lineage: Eukaryota; Viridiplantae; Streptophyta; Magnoliopsida; Poales; Poaceae.